RNAcentral lists this ribosomal RNA (431 nucleotides) under uncultured bacterium. RNAcentral's name for it is "bacterial SSU rRNA". It matches the Rfam family "Bacterial small subunit ribosomal RNA", at positions 958 to 1389 of the family's 1533-position model. The record is from RNAcentral.
AACGCGAAGAACCUUACCCAGGCUCGAACGGCAACUGACAUCCGGCGAAAGCCGGCUCCCGCAAGGGCAGUUGUCGAGGUGCUGCAUGGCUGUCGUCAGCUCGUGUCGUGAGAUGUUGGGUUAAGUCCCGCAACGAGCGCAACCCUUGUCCUCUGUUGCCAUCAGGUUAUGCUGGGCACUCUGAGGAGACUGCCGGUGAUAGACCGGAGGAAGGUGGGGAUGACGUCAAAUCAUCAUGCCCCUUAUGUCUUGGGCUGCACACGUGCUACAAUGGCAGGUACAAUGAGCUGCGAUACCGUGAGGUGGAGCGAAUCUCAAAAAGCCUGUCUCAGUUCGGAUUGGGGUCUGCAACUCGACCCCAUGAAGUCGGAGUCGCUAGUAAUCGCAGAUCAGCAACGCUGCGGUGAAUACGUUCCCGGGCCUUGUACACA